This 2881-nucleotide ribosomal RNA is filed under the name Burkholderia multivorans CGD2. RNAcentral describes it as "bacterial LSU rRNA". It matches the Rfam family "Bacterial large subunit ribosomal RNA". Lineage: Bacteria; Pseudomonadati; Pseudomonadota; Betaproteobacteria; Burkholderiales; Burkholderiaceae. The record is from RNAcentral.
GGUCAAGCGAACAAGUGCAUGUGGUGGAUGCCUUGGCGAUCACAGGCGAUGAAGGACGCGGUAGCCUGCGAAAAGCCCCGGGGAGCUGGCAAACAAGCUUUGAUCCGGGGAUGUCCGAAUGGGGAAACCCACUCCGUAUGGAGUAUCCAUGACUGAAUACAUAGGUCAUGUGAAGCGAACGCGGUGAACUGAAACAUCUAAGUAACCGCAGGAAAAGAAAUCAACCGAGAUUCCCAAAGUAGUGGCGAGCGAAAUGGGAUGAGCCUUGUACUCUUUAUUCGUAUUGUUAGCCGAACGCUCUGGAAAGUGCGGCCAUAGCAGGUGAUAGCCCUGUAGGCGAAAACAGUAUGAAAGAACUAGGUGUACGACAAGUAGGGCGGGACACGUGAAAUCCUGUCUGAAGAUGGGGGGACCAUCCUCCAAGGCUAAAUACUCGUGAUCGACCGAUAGUGAACCAGUACCGUGAGGGAAAGGCGAAAAGAACCCCGGGAGGGGAGUGAAAUAGAUCCUGAAACCGCAUGCAUACAAACAGUCGGAGCCUCGUAAGGGGUGACGGCGUACCUUUUGUAUAAUGGGUCAGCGACUUACGUUCAGUAGCAAGCUUAACCGUAUAGGGCAGGCGUAGCGAAAGCGAGUCCGAAUAGGGCGUUCAGUUGCUGGGCGUAGACCCGAAACCAGGUGAUCUAUCCAUGGCCAGGAUGAAGGUGCGGUAACACGUACUGGAGGUCCGAACCCACUAACGUUGAAAAGUUAGGGGAUGAGCUGUGGAUAGGGGUGAAAGGCUAAACAAACCUGGAAAUAGCUGGUUCUCUCCGAAAACUAUUUAGGUAGUGCCUCGUGUCUCACCUUCGGGGGUAGAGCACUGUCAUGGUUGGGGGGUCUAUUGCAGAUUACCCCGUCAUAGCAAACUCCGAAUACCGAAGAGUGCAAUCACGGGAGACAGACAUCGGGUGCUAACGUCCGGUGUCAAGAGGGAAACAACCCAGACCGCCAGCUAAGGUCCCCAAAUAUGGCUAAGUGGGAAACGAAGUGGGAAGGCUAAAACAGUCAGGAGGUUGGCUUAGAAGCAGCCACCCUUUAAAGAAAGCGUAAUAGCUCACUGAUCGAGUCGUCCUGCGCGGAAGAUGUAACGGGGCUAAGCCAUAUACCGAAGCUGCGGAUGCGUGCUUGCACGCAUGGUAGGAGAGCGUUCCGUAAGCCUGCGAAGGUGCCUUGUAAAGGGUGCUGGAGGUAUCGGAAGUGCGAAUGCUGACAUGAGUAGCGAUAAAGGGGGUGAAAGGCCCCCUCGCCGUAAGCCCAAGGUUUCCUACGCAACGUUCAUCGGCGUAGGGUGAGUCGGCCCCUAAGGCGAGGCAGAAAUGCGUAGCUGAUGGGAAGCAGGUCAAUAUUCCUGCACCGUCGUUAGAUGCGAUGGGGGGACGGAUCGCGGAAGGUUGUCCGGGUGUUGGACGUCCCGGUCGCUGCAUUGGAGAAGGCGCUUAGGCAAAUCCGGGCGCGGAAUUCAAGGGUGUGGCGCGAGCGACUUCGGUCGCGAAGCAAUUGGAAGUGGUUCCAAGAAAAGCCUCUAAGCUUCAGUCUAACGAUGACCGUACCGCAAACCGACACAGGUGGGCGAGAUGAGUAUUCUAAGGCGCUUGAGAGAACUCGGGAGAAGGAACUCGGCAAAUUGGUACCGUAACUUCGGGAUAAGGUACGCCCUUGUAGCUUGACCAGCCUGCGCUGGAAGGGUGAAGGGGUUGCAAUAAACUGGUGGCUGCGACUGUUUAAUAAAAACACAGCACUCUGCAAACACGAAAGUGGACGUAUAGGGUGUGACGCCUGCCCGGUGCCGGAAGAUUAAAUGAUGGGGUGCAAGCUCUUGAUUGAAGUCCCGGUAAACGGCGGCCGUAACUAUAACGGUCCUAAGGUAGCGAAAUUCCUUGUCGGGUAAGUUCCGACCUGCACGAAUGGCGUAACGAUGGCCACACUGUCUCCUCCCGAGACUCAGCGAAGUUGAAGUGUUUGUGAUGAUGCAAUCUACCCGCGGCUAGACGGAAAGACCCCAUGAACCUUUACUGUAGCUUUGCAUUGGACUUUGAACCGAUCUGUGUAGGAUAGGUGGGAGGCUAUGAAACCGGAACGCUAGUUUCGGUGGAGCCGUCCUUGAAAUACCACCCUGGUUUGUUUGAGGUUCUAACCUUGGUCCGUGAUCCGGAUCGGGGACAGUGCAUGGUAGGCAGUUUGACUGGGGCGGUCUCCUCCCAAAGGGUAACGGAGGAGUACGAAGGUACGCUAGGUACGGUCGGAAAUCGUGCUGAUAGUGCAAUGGCAUAAGCGUGCUUAACUGCGAGACCGACAAGUCGAGCAGGUGCGAAAGCAGGUCAUAGUGAUCCGGUGGUUCUGUAUGGAAGGGCCAUCGCUCAACGGAUAAAAGGUACUCUGGGGAUAACAGGCUGAUACCGCCCAAGAGUUCAUAUCGACGGCGGUGUUUGGCACCUCGAUGUCGGCUCAUCUCAUCCUGGGGCUGUAGCCGGUCCCAAGGGUAUGGCUGUUCGCCAUUUAAAGAGGUACGUGAGCUGGGUUUAAAACGUCGUGAGACAGUUUGGUCCCUAUCUGCCGUGGGCGUUGGAUAUUUGAAGGGGGCUGCUCCUAGUACGAGAGGACCGGAGUGGACGAACCUCUGGUGUACCGGUUGUGACGCCAGUCGCAUCGCCGGGUAGCUAUGUUCGGAAGAGAUAACCGCUGAAAGCAUCUAAGCGGGAAACUCGCCUUAAGAUGAGAUAUCCCUGGAGGCUUGACCUCCUUGAAGGGUCGUUCGAGACCAGGACGUUGAUAGGUCGGGUGUGUAAGCGCAGUAAUGCGUUCAGCUAACCGAUACUAAUUGCCCGUAAGGCUUGAUCCU